CAUUGCAUGUAUGGCAUGUUCCAUACUCAGUAUGAUGUGAACAGACCUUUGCAUUAGAUGGAUCUUUGCACUUGGUAUAACUAAAGGAAGUUGUGUUUAAGCAGGAAAGUGGAAAGCAUUUUUUUUGCAGGACCAAGUAAGACAAAUCUGCUGGAAGACAAACAAUUGUAGGAAUGACUGCACUGAGGUGUUGAAUCUUUUGAUACUGCAUGCAUAAGGCUACUAAUUAUCAGAAAAGUCAUCAAAAACCUGCUGGAUUAAUUAGAUGGACAGGUAUUAAGUAUCCCAGAAGUGGUGGAACUGGAACUGCCAUCAUAAAAUAAUGUUUUAAAGGCCAGCAUCAGCAUUGCUUGGGAACAGUGGGAUUUUGACCUAGACUUGGAGUGGGUAGUUUUGGGAGUUUGUGUGAAUUCUGCUAAAUAUUAAAAAUCCUUGUUAUGUUUGGGGUCAGGAAAGUCAUGGAAGGUAAGGUGCUAGGAGCAAAAGUCUUUGUAGUUGCUGCCAUAAGCACAUUUACAUUGAGGACUAAUUAUUCCUAAAUUUGUCUGUUUAAUUCCAAUUUCUUCUCUGAAUAAUAAGAAUUACUGUCUGCAAAAUGCAAAUAGUCCUUGCAUGCUAUGUCCAAGCUGUUAUAUUCUCAAAUACAUAGAACUUCAUUAGUCAGAAGAAAGCAUUAAGAAAUGUUCUAUCCUUAGGUCAGUCCAAUUCCACCAUCCUAUUCUAAGGUCAGAUUAGCAGUUUGUGAACUUGAAUUAACUGAUUUGGGUUGAGAUAACCUGAUUUGAACUGACUGCAUUUGUACUUUCACCAUGUAUCAGAUCUUAAGAGAUGAAAAAGGAUUUUAUGAGAUGACUUUGAAGUGGUGAAAUUGCUGGAAGAUAAUUUUUAGUUAUUAAAUUUGAAAAACUAACAAGCAAAUAAACCAACUAUGUAAGUGUGAACCUUUCUCUUA
RNAcentral lists this long non-coding RNA (952 nucleotides) under Cyanistes caeruleus (blue tit). RNAcentral's name for it is "lncRNA (ENSCCEG00000012707.1)". The record is from RNAcentral. Lineage: Eukaryota; Metazoa; Chordata; Aves; Passeriformes; Paridae.